CGUAGGACUCAGCAGGGGCUAGGCCGUGAACGCGGCUCUCUGCUCUUACUGUGGCGCCUGAAAGACCUGGGAGGUUCUCCCGGGCGGUCUUUGUGGCCUCCCUGUUCCCCACGAGGAGGGCUGUGGCUGCGAUCCCUCCUCCUCUCUAAGGGUCGUCUGCGCGCGCUGCCAACCGGGGUCAGCAGGGGGCGCGGCCGAGCCCAAGCCCAGAAGGGGAUCGAACUCCGGUCCUUGCGCUGGAAACCACUGAGGGUCUUGCUGGCCUGGAAAGUGAAACCCUUCCUCCUCAGCCUCCUGCGCAGCCCAGCUAUGGAAUUCCAAGACAUAAUUCCAUUUUGUCCUCCGCUCCCAACUGAGACCUCAAUGAUCCGGUGAUGCUGUGAUUCUCCAGGACAGGAAACAUCCUGGGAGCUGCAAACAUCCUGGGAGAACAAACAUCUACUCAGUUCCUCCUUGAUCUUGGACUGUUACACCUUGUUUACCCAGGAUGUACUGAACUCUCUGCGAGUCAUUUGUUACAUUUGUUUCUCCCGAUGUACUGAGUACUGAAUAAAAGGUGCAGUAAGCUGGGGGCUUUCUGCCUUUGCCCCCCAGAGCAGCACUGAUCAGACCCAAAGCUCAGCUUCUUCUCAGUCUCAUUUUUCUACCUUUUCUGUAAUUUGCCUUGUGCUGCUGUGGCUCGCAGGAGACUAGGACUUAACUGCAGAGGUUCUGGUAACGUCCCCUUUCCCUGUUCUCUACAACAGUGCUAUCACAUUAUCCUCUCAAUUGUAGGAUUACAGGUUGUGG
RNAcentral lists this long non-coding RNA (789 nucleotides) under Heterocephalus glaber (naked mole-rat). RNAcentral's name for it is "lncRNA (ENSHGLG00100045987.1)". The record is from RNAcentral. Lineage: Eukaryota; Metazoa; Chordata; Mammalia; Rodentia; Bathyergidae.